Molecule: ribosomal RNA, 429 nt
Filed under: Bacteroidota bacterium
Lineage: Bacteria; Pseudomonadati; Bacteroidota
Description: Bacteroidetes bacterium partial 16S ribosomal RNA
Rfam family: Bacterial small subunit ribosomal RNA
Source: RNAcentral
UAGGGAAUCUUCCGCAAUGGACGCAAGUCUGACGGAGCAACGCCGCGUGAGUGAAGAAGGAUUUCGGUUCGUAAAACUCUGUUGUUAGAGAAGAACAGCGCAUAGAGUAACUGUUAUGCGUGUGACGGUAUCUAACCAGAAAGCCGCGGCUAACUACGUGCCAGCAGCCGCGGUAAUACGUAGGUGGCAAGCGUUGUCCGGAUUUAUUGGGCGUAAAGCGAGCGCAGGCGGUCAAUUAAGUCUGAUGUGAAAGCCCCCGGCUCAACCGGGGAGGGUCAUUGGAAACUGGUUGACUUGAGUGCAGAAGAGGAGAGUGGAAUUCCAUGUGUAGCGGUGAAAUGCGUAGAUAUAUGGAGGAACACCAGUGGCGAAGGCGACUCUCUGGUCUGUAACUGACGCUGAGGCUCGAAAGCGUGGGUAGCAAACAGG